RNAcentral lists this unclassified non-coding RNA (379 nucleotides) under fungal sp. RNAcentral's name for it is "partial internal transcribed spacer region". The stretch from base 1 to 46 matches the Rfam family "Eukaryotic small subunit ribosomal RNA", at positions 1786 to 1831 of the family's 1831-position model. Lineage: Eukaryota; Fungi. The record is from RNAcentral.
AAGUCGUAACAAGGUUUCCGUAGGUGAACCUGCGGAAGGAUCAUUAUCACGUUGCAAAACACUUAUCAACCUUGCGUGCACUCGGUUCCUUCAGAAUGAUAAUGGGUUUGGUGGUUUUGGGUUGUUUGUUGAAGUGGUUUGGAACACCCGCCAUCUUUGGUUUUGACAGUCUUCUGAUUGUUUUGACCAGCCCUGUUCUGAAGAGCUGUUUCUUGCGGUACCACCUCAGCCGCGUCUUGUUUCACCUUUUUCCUUUUUAAACCCCUGUACGAUUAAUGAACUGAUUUGGUUCUUUUGUCUGGUCAUUCAGUUGAUCUAGCGAAAGAAUUCACUUACAAAACAUCAAAACAACUCUUAACAACGGAUAUCUUGGUUCCCG